UUACUACUCCCUCCGUCCGGAAAAGCUUGUCCCAAACUUGUUUCUCAAAUGGAUGUACCUAGCACUAACUUGGUGCUAGAUACAUCCAUUUGAGAGACAAGCUUUUUCAGACGGAGGGAGUAUAAU
This is a non-coding RNA of Triticum aestivum (bread wheat), 126 nucleotides long. The record is from Rfam. Lineage: Eukaryota; Viridiplantae; Streptophyta; Magnoliopsida; Poales; Poaceae.